RNAcentral lists this long non-coding RNA (588 nucleotides) under Mytilus galloprovincialis (Mediterranean mussel). The record is from RNAcentral. Lineage: Eukaryota; Metazoa; Mollusca; Bivalvia; Mytilida; Mytilidae.
UUAAUUUGUAAAUUUGGCAUAAUUUUGCAAUUUAACAUAAGAGUUUACAUAUUGUGCAAGAUAGUACAUGCAAAUAUUGGUGUGCAAAAAGUUUUCAUAUUUUUUUGUUUUCGUUGAAGUAUGAAAAUAAGCCAAUUUCCAUUCGUUCAUAUUUGAUAACUAACGUUUUCACACAAAUUAAAUGUAGAUGAAACUGCAUUGAAAGGUUAAGAUUUAUUUUUCAUUUAGUAACAUUAUAAUUGAAAACAAAUAAUUGUCCAUGUUUCAAAUCAUGAACCCCUUAUAUUCCACAGUCACUGGAAUUUCUGUUCAGGAAUAUGUGUCCUUCCUGUAACUAUUUAUUUGAAAACGGAAUAAAACUUGUUUCUCUCUUCAAUAACGGCGGUUUUUUAUGGUGUCAUCGUAGGCGUGGAUACACGGCGUAACGACAUGGUGAAAAUUUUGAUGUGAAAAGAUUUUGGUUAUCAGAAUAAAAAGAUCAGUAAGUACUGAUGUAUGCGUACCUUUAUAUAAUGUCUUUAAUGUUACCAGUUGAUUGAUACUUUUUAAUUGCAGAAGACUAAUAAAACGUUUGUUAUUGUAACUUGG